Molecule: long non-coding RNA, 962 nt
Organism: Cyprinus carpio carpio
Lineage: Eukaryota; Metazoa; Chordata; Actinopteri; Cypriniformes; Cyprinidae
Source: Ensembl
UUUCACGCAGCUCUUUUUGAAUAUAAGCACAAGGUAAAACACGAAUAAUAAGUGCAUCCUAUCGAAUUAGUCGUUUGAAUGUUAGUGACAGGGCCCUGACUCCACUUCCCACAGUGCAGCGCGGCUGCGGGGGUCAUGUGAUGUGUGUGUGUGUCUCUGCGCCGCUGGCUCGUGUCUCAGUCAGACCGAUCUGUGUGAGGAUGUGCUGUGGCUCUCUGUGUGCGCUCUGCUCGGAUCAUGCGGGACACCGACCAGAGGAGCUGCUGCCCCUCACAAACGUGUGGAAUAAGAGCGCUUUCCAGGUGAAGCACUGACAGCAGAAACAGAAACAAAUGCACCGGCAACGUUACUUCUCACGCGCUGGAUUACCGUGUAACGUCUCAGUGACCGCGGAGUAACGCUGACGUUACUUCAUUACAGCUGAACCUGGACGAGGUGGAAACCAGGAUGCCAGAUGUGAUGCUUCACAGAUUUUCAAGGUAUUCCCUUCUCUGGUGUCUCACCAAUGUCAGGUCGUGUCUGAAGAGACGUGUGGAUGAGUGUGACACCGCUGAUUUCUCCACAUCAUGGAUUAUCAGAGAUAUCUGGAGAUGCUCGUUUCAUAAGUGGAUUUAAGACAUUUCCUUGUACUAUGCUUUGACUGCAGAUACUGGAUUACUCGGACUGUUUUCUACUUUACGUCAUUUGUUUUCUUCUGAUUGGUCAGUACGAUGUUCCAGUCAUGAUGCUCUAUCGAUCUAAUAAAAAUAGUUUUAUUAUAAAUAGUGCUAGUAUUUCAAUAAAAUGGCAAUGUUGUUUGUAAAGAUAUAAGGCACUGUUGUGUUGAGCACUGCUGUGCUAUAUUGUAGAUGAUUAUAUCACAAUCUAACACAACCCACUGUACCCUAUUGUUACCUUUUAAAGGGAUACUCCACUCCAAAAUGAAAAUGUUGUCAUUAAUCACUUACCCGCAUGUCGUUCCA